GACGAACGCUGGCGGCGUGCCUAAUACAUGCAAGUAGAACGCUGAAGCUUGGUGCUUGCACCGAGCGGAUGAGUUGCGAACGGGUGAGUAACGCGUAGGUAACCUGCCUGGUAGCGGGGGAUAACUAUUGGAAACGAUAGCUAAUACCGCAUAACAGUAGAUAUCGCAUGAUAUGUGCUUGAAAGGUGCAAUUGCAUCACUACCAGAUGGACCUGCGUUGUAUUAGCUAGUUGGUGAGGUAACGGCUCACCAAGGCAACGAUACAUAGCCGACCUGAGAGGGUGAUCGGCCACACUGGGACUGAGACACGGCCCAGACUCCUACGGGAGGCAGCAGUAGGGAAUCUUCGGCAAUGGACGGAAGUCUGACCGAGCAACGCCGCGUGAGUGAAGAAGGUUUUCGGAUCGUAAAGCUCUGUUGUAAGAGAAGAACGAGUGUGAGAGUGGAAAGUUCACACUGUGACGGUAUCUUACCAGAAAGGGCGGCU
This 487-nucleotide ribosomal RNA is filed under the name Streptococcus sp. oral taxon 061. RNAcentral's name for it is "bacterial SSU rRNA". It matches the Rfam family "Bacterial small subunit ribosomal RNA", at positions 28 to 498 of the family's 1533-position model. The record is from RNAcentral. Lineage: Bacteria; Bacillati; Bacillota; Bacilli; Lactobacillales; Streptococcaceae.